This 452-nucleotide ribosomal RNA is filed under the name Lachnospiraceae bacterium oral taxon 107. RNAcentral's name for it is "bacterial SSU rRNA". It matches the Rfam family "Bacterial small subunit ribosomal RNA", at positions 28 to 481 of the family's 1533-position model. Lineage: Bacteria; Bacillati; Bacillota; Clostridia; Lachnospirales; Lachnospiraceae. The record is from RNAcentral.
GAUGAACGCUGGCGGCGUGCUUAACACAUGCAAGUCGAACGAAGCUGCUUAAAGGAAGUUUUCGGAUGGAAUUUAGGUAGACUUAGUGGCGGACGGGUGAGUAACGCGUGGAUAACCUGCCUUAUACAGGGGGAUAACGGAGAGAAAUUUCCGCUAACACCGCAUAAGACCACAGCACCGCAUGGUGCAGGGGUAAAAUAUUUAUAGGUAUAAGAUGGAUCCGCGUCCGAUUAGCUAGUUGGUGAGGUAGAGGCUCACCAAGGCGACGAUCGGUAGCCGGCCUGAGAGGGUGAACGGCCACAUUGGGACUGAGACACGGCCCAAACUCCUACGGGAGGCAGCAGUGGGGAAUAUUGGACAAUGGGGGAAACCCUGAUCCAGCGACGCCGCGUGAGUGAAGAAGUAUUUCGGUAUGUAAAGCUCUAUCAGCAGGGAAGAAAAUGACGUACCUG